RNAcentral lists this ribosomal RNA (370 nucleotides) under uncultured bacterium. RNAcentral's name for it is "bacterial SSU rRNA". It matches the Rfam family "Bacterial small subunit ribosomal RNA", at positions 365 to 758 of the family's 1533-position model. The record is from RNAcentral.
UCUGACGUGGGGGAACCUGACCGCCUGCCGCGUGAGUGAUGAAGGCCUUCGGGUUGUAAAACUCUUUCGACGGGGACGAUAAUGACGGUACCCGUAGAAGAAGCUCCGGCUAACUUCGUGCCAGCAGCCGCGGUAAUACGAAGGGGGCUAGCGUUGUUCGGAAUUACUGGGCGUAAAGCGCGCGCAGGCGGUCUUCCAAUCAGUGGUGAAAGCCUGGAGCUCAACUCCAGAACUGCCAUUGAAACUGUUAGACUUGAGUACGAGAGAGGUGAGUGGAAUUCCCAGUGUAGAGGUGAAAUUUGUAGAUAUUGGGAAGAACACCAGUGGCGAAGGCGGCUCACUGGCUCGUAACUGACGCUCAGGCGCGACA